GCCAGGCAUAGAGGUGCAUGCCUGUAAUCCUGACUAUUCAGAAGGCUGAGGCAGGAAGAUCACUUGCGCCCAGGAGUUCAAGGACAGCCUGGGCAUCAUAGCAAGAGCCCAUUUAUCUU
RNAcentral lists this small RNA (119 nucleotides) under Marmota monax (woodchuck). Lineage: Eukaryota; Metazoa; Chordata; Mammalia; Rodentia; Sciuridae. The record is from RNAcentral.